UAGUCCGCACGAGCGCACCCACAGUCUUCAGUUGCCAGCAGUUCGGCUGGGCACUCUGGAGAAACUGCCCGUGAUAAGCGGGAGGAAGGUGUGGAUGACGUCAAGUCCUCAUGGCCCUUACGGGUUGGGCUACACACGUGCUACAAUGGUGGUGACAGUGGGUUAAUCCCCAAAAGCCAUCUCAGUUCGGAUUGGGGUCUGCAACUCGACCCCAUGAAGUCGGAAUCGCUAGUAAUCGCGUAACAGCAUGACGCGGUGAAUACGUUCCCGGGCCUU
Molecule: ribosomal RNA, 276 nt
Filed under: uncultured bacterium
Lineage: Bacteria
Description: partial 16S ribosomal RNA
Rfam family: Bacterial small subunit ribosomal RNA
Source: RNAcentral